AUUAAACGCUGGCGGCAUGCCUUACACAUGCAAGUCGAACGGCAGCACGGGGUGGUAACACUCUGGUGGCGAGUGGCGGACGGGUGAGUAAAGCAUCGGAACGUGCCCUGGAAUGGGGGAUAACGUAGCGAAAGUUACGCUAAUACCGCAUAUUCUGUGAGCAGGAAAGCAGGGGAUCGCAAGACCUUGCGUUCGAGGAGCGGCCGAUGUCGGAUUAGCUAGUUGGUGGGGUAAAGGCCUACCAAGGCGACGAUCCGUAGCGGGUCUGAGAGGAUGAUCCGCCACACUGGGACUGAGACACGGCCCAGACUCCUACGGGAGGCAGCAGUGGGGAAUUUUGGACAAUGGAGGGAACUCUGAACCAGCCAUCCCGCGUGCAGGAUGAAGGGGGCUCUGCCCUGUAAACUGCUUUUGAAUGGGACGAAAAAGCUCACUUGUGAGGAACUGACGGUACCGAUUAGAAUAAGCACCGGCUAACUCCGUGCCAGCAGCCGCGGUAAU
RNAcentral lists this ribosomal RNA (501 nucleotides) under uncultured bacterium. RNAcentral describes it as "bacterial SSU rRNA". It matches the Rfam family "Bacterial small subunit ribosomal RNA", at positions 30 to 524 of the family's 1533-position model. The record is from RNAcentral.